Molecule: ribosomal RNA, 721 nt
Filed under: Rubzovinema sp. EIK-2013
Lineage: Eukaryota; Metazoa; Nematoda; Chromadorea; Rhabditida; Neotylenchidae
Description: eukaryotic LSU rRNA
Rfam family: Eukaryotic large subunit ribosomal RNA
Source: RNAcentral
GAAGAGAGAGUUAAAUAGUACGUGAAAUCGGUGAGGUGGAAACGGAUAGAGUUGACGUAUCUGGCAUGCAUUCAGCCGUUGCGUAUAGCUCUCGUAUGGUGUGCCGCGGUUCUCGGAUCGUUGUGCAUGCUGUGCGUGGAGUCGUGCGUAUCGGUGCACUUGCAUGUCGUGUGCGCUGGAGCGCAUGCGUUGGUCGUUCGGCCCAAGGGUAAGAGGAUGCGCGCUUCGGCGUGUAAAACCGGACCCUUGUGUGCCGGGCGGUUCGGCGUAUGCGGUGUGGAUGUGCGGCGCUAACGUUCGCGGCUAUCAUUCGUUUCUGGGGCGCAUGGCGGUCGCUUGCGACACGUGUGCGUCUCGGUUUCGAUGGUUGGCGCGAUCUCGCUCAUGUUCACUCCGGUGUAAAAGUCGAUCAUCUAUCCGACCCGUCUUGAAACACGGACCAAGGAGUUUAACGUAUACGCGAGUCAAUGGGCGUUUAAAACCCAAAGGCGUAAUGAAAGUGAAAGUGCUCUCGAAGUGCUUGAUAUGCGAUCCGCAGCACCACGGUGUUGCCGGCGCAGCAUAGCCCCGUUCCCGUCGCUUGCGAUGGAGCGGAGGAAGAGCGUAUGCGUUGAGACCCGAAAGAUGGUGAACUAUGCCUGAGCAGGACGAAGUCAGAGGAAACUCUGAUGGAAGUCCGAAUCGGUUCUGACGUGCAAAUCGAUCGUCUGACUUGGGUAUA